This 629-nucleotide unclassified non-coding RNA is filed under the name Neurachne lanigera. RNAcentral's name for it is "sequence contains 18S rRNA gene, ITS1, 5.8S rRNA gene and ITS2". The stretch from base 244 to 399 matches the Rfam family "5.8S ribosomal RNA". The record is from RNAcentral. Lineage: Eukaryota; Viridiplantae; Streptophyta; Magnoliopsida; Poales; Poaceae.
UUUCCGUAGGUGAACCUGCGGAAGGAUCAUUGUCGUGACCCUUAAACAAAACAGACCGCGAACGCGUCAUCCAUGUCGCCGGGCCUCGGCUCGGCUAGGCCCCCCGACCUCCGUUCCGGGGGAGAGGGGCCGCAAAAGAACCCACGGCGCCGAAGGCGUCAAGGAACACCGAUAUUGCCUUGCUCGGGGCCGUGGCCGGCUUGCCGGCUGCUUCCCGCGCAGCGAUCAUAUCUUAACCAACACGACUCUCGGCAACGGAUAUCUCGGCUCUCGCAUCGAUGAAGAACGUAGCAAAAUGCGAUACCUGGUGUGAAUUGCAGAAUCCCGUGAACCAUCGAGUUUUUGAACGCAAGUUGCGCCCGAGGCCUUCUGGCCGAGGGCACGCCUGCCUGGGCGUCACGCCAAAAGACACUCCCAAAACCCAUCCUCGGGGACGGGACGUGGUGUUUGGCUCCCCGUGCCGCAAGGCGCGGUGGGCCGAAGUUGGGGCUGCCGGCGUACCAUGCCGGGCACAGCACGUGGUGGGCGACAUGAAGUUGUUCUCGGUGCAGCGCCCCGGCACGCAGCUGGCUUGUCGGCCCUAUGGACCCAUCUACCGUGGCGCUUCGCCGCUCGGACCGCGACCYCAG